UCACCUAGCCGUAAGGCGUUUACCAUCCUGGAGAAUCCAACCAGAGGGCCGGGAAGAGUUUUCUUUUCUGCUUAAGGGACAGAGGGCCUUGUGAACUGGGUCGGUCAGAGAGAGGGUCUUUGUCCCGAAUAGCGCCGCGGUUCUUGCGGAGUCCAGCUUCUCUGGUGUGGAACUUGAAAAUCCAGGGGUAAGAAUGAAAUACCUUCAUGCCAGUUCGUACCCAUAUCCGCAUCUGGUCUCCAAGGUGAACAGCCUCUCGUCG
RNAcentral lists this ribosomal RNA (262 nucleotides) under Trapezicandona sp. 2 IK-2017. Its description in RNAcentral is "partial large subunit ribosomal RNA". It matches the Rfam family "Eukaryotic large subunit ribosomal RNA", at positions 1636 to 1889 of the family's 3401-position model. Lineage: Eukaryota; Metazoa; Arthropoda; Ostracoda; Podocopida; Candonidae. The record is from RNAcentral.